This 161-nucleotide ribosomal RNA is filed under the name uncultured bacterium. RNAcentral's name for it is "partial 16S ribosomal RNA". It matches the Rfam family "Bacterial small subunit ribosomal RNA", at positions 355 to 511 of the family's 1533-position model. The record is from RNAcentral.
UGAGGAAUAUUGGUCAAUGGGCGGGGAGCCUGAACCAGCCAAGUCGCGUGAGGGAAGACGGUCCUAUGGAUUGUAAACCUCUUUUGUCGGGGAGCAAAGAGGCCACGUGUGGUCAAAAGCGAGAGUACCCGAAGAAAAAGCAUCGGCUAACUCCGUGCCAA